RNAcentral lists this ribosomal RNA (625 nucleotides) under Cuscuta tolteca. RNAcentral describes it as "eukaryotic LSU rRNA". The stretch from base 227 to 382 matches the Rfam family "5.8S ribosomal RNA". Lineage: Eukaryota; Viridiplantae; Streptophyta; Magnoliopsida; Solanales; Convolvulaceae. The record is from RNAcentral.
UUUCCGUAGGUGAACCUGCGGAAGGAUCAUUGUCGUAACCUUCUGGCAGAAUGACUUGUUAACUUGUACCAAUACAAGAUUCUAGUGUUGGGGCCAUCUUUUUUAUUUGGCCACAAUGAACAAAAACACAGGCGCAGAAGCGCCAAGGAAUUUUGUAAUGAGAAUGCUGCCUCGCAUAGCUCAUUUCUACUUGCUUGUGAGGUUGGCAUCUUUUUUUAAAAAAAAUGACUCUCGGCAAUGGAUAUCUCGGCUCUUGCAUCGAUGAAGAACGUAGCGAAAUGUGAUACUUGGUGUGAAUUGCAGAAUCCCGUGAACCAUCGAAACUUUGAACGCAAGUUGCGCCUCAAGCCAUUAGGUUGAGGGCACGUUUGCUUGGGUGUCAUGCAUUAUGUCUUCCCUCUCGUGUGUUGGAUUGGGAGUAGAUCAUGGCCUCCUGGGCCCAUCCUCUUGGGUGUGGUUGGCCGAAAAUAUUGUCCUUGAUUUUGUUGAUGUCUUGGCCUGCGGUGGAUGUACCAUUUGUGCAUAAUGGCCAGACUUGCUCGACUUCAUUGUGGCGUGUAGAUCCUAUGAAGCUGUCGGCGUUGGCUCUUUGAUUGCGACCCCAAGUCAGGCGAGACCACCCGCU